RNAcentral lists this unclassified non-coding RNA (2859 nucleotides) under Hevea brasiliensis (rubber tree). Lineage: Eukaryota; Viridiplantae; Streptophyta; Magnoliopsida; Malpighiales; Euphorbiaceae. The record is from RNAcentral.
GAAAGGAGAAAAGGCACUGGACUUUUCUAUGUGUGUAAUGUUCACAAAAUUAGGUACAGGGAAAAAAAAAUAAAAGAAAAAAGAGAUUAUCCCUUUACAUAUAUCAUCAUAUGCACAAAAUGGAGUUAUCUUAGUAUGAUUUAGAUUCUGCACUCAUCAUGAUCCACAUACUGCUGUAUGGAUGAGAUUCUUUUUCAAAGGUUUCAAUGACCAUAGCUAUCCCCAACUUCUUCAAGGACUAUCCACUAUAUGUUUCUUGGUAUGUUUCAAUUCCUAUGCAAGUUUCUAUCACAAAAGCAAGAGAGUCUGGCAUUGCUCUUUUCUCUUUGUACAGAAAGGGUGUAGCAGAGAAUGGCUGAAUUUACUUCUUGUGGAAGGUAACCAUAAUUGCAAGGGCAAAAAUACGAAUAGCUAAGCCGAAAACAAUGAGGAAGAUUAAACAACGAUACCAAUGACUGAGAUCAAAUCCACUUUCCAUGAGAGAACCACACCGUGUUAUCAGCCAUACACCAUAAUAUCUUUUAGCAUUUGAUAUGACAAAAGCUUCCAAUGCCCAUUUAGUGUAACAUAAGUCAGAUAGUUUUGUAACAAAGCUGCCGUUUUCACCAUGGGUUGCUAUUAAGGUUAAAACAACUGGAAGAAGCACUGACCACAGUUGAGCUGGACCAGCCUCAAAGCAAAUGGCUAACGCAUAAGCUAUCCCGGUUACACAAUAAACGAGGCAGGUUAAAACUACAUAAUUAUCUGUGACUGUUGAUCUUGGAUUAUUGAAGAAGUAGAACAUUGACAGAUACACUAGUGGUUUGACAAUUGUGUUGAAAUGAUCAACUGUAUCCUUUGCUAGAAAAUAAGCCAAGCCACUCAUGCCAGAAGCACUUUCUCUCCAGUAAUGUAGCUUAUCCAAAGAAAAUGAUCUCAAAGCUGUGAUCUUGCAGAGUAAAGAAACUGCUAUCACGGUGUAUGUGUAACCCAGCACUCCAAAAGUUUCAUCGCUCACUUUAGCUAAUGUUCCUAAGCAGAUUCCAGCGAGUAAUAAAAUCAAAAAAUCUACAGCUUGUGUCCUUGCAUCUCUUAAUCUCUGUUUGCAAAUCCUCCCUAAGAAGUAUCUGUAUUGUUGAAAGACACCAGGGGUUCUCCGAUUGGAUAAGUCGUCUGUGAUUGAGAUAUUAAGUUCUAUAUUAUCUUUCUUCAUCUCAACAUUAGACUUCAUAUCCUGCCAAAACUCUCCAGCAAAAGACUCUGGUUCAGAUUCAGCUUCGGCUCCAUGAUUUGAAUCACUUGAGGAUGCUCCUAGUCUAUCAGCACUCUGUAGCAUAUCCAUAGGAACUGGAUAGCCAUUAUGAAGCAUCCAUCUAAUUGGAAGCUGUUUAUAGUCCACCCCUGAGCUAGGUUUUACUAUCCCCUCCAAAAUGUCAAUGAAGUAGUCUGGAGGAUUUACACGCUCAGGUACAGUAAUCCCAAGGCCAGCAAAAUACUCUUCAACUUUCUUUACUGGUCCAUGAUAUACUGUCAGGCCACCCUUAGCUAGAAGUAUCAAAUCAUCAAACAUGCUGAACAACGCAUAGCUUGGUUGGUGUACAACCAAGGAAAUGUUUACUCCCUCAAGAGCUUCACGUCUAAGAGCUCUAAGCAGUAAAAGAGAAGAUGAGCUGUCCAAACCAGACGUGGGUUCAUCUAAUAUCAGAAGUGAAGGUUCCAUAACCAUUUCAAGCCCAACAUUUACUCGUUUUCUUUGACCUCCAGAAAUUCCUCUCUUCUCCACUGUCCCAACCAGAGAAUCCCGCACUGCCUGCAGCCCUAAGGACUCGAUGACUCUUUCAACAACUAGAACCUUUUCUGGUUUUGGUAGAUCAGCAGAUAGUCUGCAUCUUGCACUGAACCAGAGAUUCUCCUCCACUGUCAAGUUUCCGUGCACAAUAUCAUCUUGAGGCACAAAACCAAUGAUUUUCUUGUAUGCUUGGAUUGGCUCUGCCUUACCAUUUACAAGAACCAUACCAGACACAUGGCACCCGGUCGCUUUUCCAGUCAAAGCAGAAAGAAAUGUUGUUUUUCCAGCCCCAGAUGGGCCCAUGACAGCAGAAACUCGCCCAGGUGAUAAUUUCCCAGUUACACACCUUAGCAGAUGUUUAUUUUUAUGUUUCAAAGUGAGGGUUAGGUCUUUAAAAAAAAUCUCAAUCAUAGGUCUCUUCCUGAUUUCAAUAUCACUAGCCAUUGAAAUGACCCCAGAGAAGGUCAAGUUCUUAUUCUGCUCCUGCAUAGCCUUUUCUUUCUCAAUCUGUCCAUAUGCAUACCUGAACAUUUGGCUCUGAGUGUGCAGCUGCUUACCUUUUGGUGCAUGCUUUUUGAUAUUUUUAUCUCCGAUCUCUAGAUUGAAGCCCUCAUGACUCUCGGGAUUAGCUUCAAUUUCCUGCAGCAUCGUUGUAAGGUUAUUUUUGUCCUUUUUCUUUCCUUUUGUUGCUGCAGAUGAACUACCUCCAAGCAUGGAUGGUAAGGCAGCAUCUGUUCCAGGUUUAGCUUGACCAGUACCUUUUACCAGAUCUGCUUGUCUUUUAGAUUUUGUACGAGAAAAUGUGCGUGAUAAUUGAGUUUGUAGUCCAAUUGCAUGCUUUUUGGCAAUGUCUUUUGCAGAUUUCCAUUUUUCACGUGCUUGCGCUGUUUCUCUCACACUUUGAACUGCUUUCUCCCUAGUUCUUGCUUGUCUUUUCUCUCGGGUUGCAAGAACUUGAUCAGAACAGUUAUAAAUAAUGAUGAACAGAAAACUCAAUCCGACAAAAACCAAGAUGCCAUAUGCAGUGAUAUUUUGAUUUGACGAUUUUGGUUCACAAGUUGCCAUCCGAAAACACUUUGCUUGAGUUGUAG